Molecule: ribosomal RNA, 393 nt
Filed under: uncultured bacterium
Lineage: Bacteria
Description: partial 16S ribosomal RNA
Rfam family: Bacterial small subunit ribosomal RNA
Source: RNAcentral
AUACGGAGGAUGCGAGCGUUAUCCGGAUUUAUUGGGUUUAAAGGGUGCGUAGGCGGAAAGUUAAGUCAGCGGUGAAACGCAGGUGCUCAACACCUGACCUGCCGUUGAGACUGGUUUUCUGGAAUGCGGAUGCUGUGGGAGGAAUGUGUGGUGUAGCGGUGAAAUGCAUAGAUAUCACACAGAACACCGAUUGCGAAGGCAUCUCACAAAUCCGCUAUUGACGCUGAGGCACGAAGGUGCGGGGAUCGAACAGGAUUAGAUACCCUGGUAGUCCGCACAGUAAACGAUGAUGACUCACUGUCGGCGAUAGACAGUCGGUGGCCAAGCGAAAGCGAUAAGUCAUCCACCUGGGGAGUACGACCGCAAGGUUGAAACUUAAAGGAAUUGACGGGG